CUCAAAAUUUUAUCAAAUUUUUUUCUAUGAUUUCAUGUCCCUUAUCUCUAGCUCACCCAAAAAUCUCAGCCAAAAGCCAUCUGGGGCGUCCCCUAUAAAUAGGGGACCAGGACACGUUACAUGGGAUGAAGGGGUGCCAACUUUUGAUGCUCCAACUUUCCAUGCACCAAAUAAAUUCAUUGAGUGAAUUUUUGGUAAUUUAGAUACUUAGAGCAGAAGGACUCUUCCUUCUCUAUGUGCUAUAAAAAUUCUAUUAAUUUUUAGUAUCAAAACAUAGGAUUUCUAAUUAAUCUUAUAAAAAUUCUAUUAAUUUUUAGUAUCAAAACAUAGGAUUUCUAAUUUAUCUUCUAAGCCAAUGUGUUUAAUAAAGAGCCUUCUUUGAGAAAGACUCUUUAUUUCUCACGCUGAUUUGAGG
This 415-nucleotide long non-coding RNA is filed under the name Elaeis guineensis (African oil palm). Its description in RNAcentral is "long non-coding RNA (EGUI_LNC080950)". Lineage: Eukaryota; Viridiplantae; Streptophyta; Magnoliopsida; Arecales; Arecaceae. The record is from RNAcentral.